RNAcentral lists this ribosomal RNA (253 nucleotides) under uncultured bacterium. RNAcentral's name for it is "partial 16S ribosomal RNA". It matches the Rfam family "Bacterial small subunit ribosomal RNA", at positions 524 to 776 of the family's 1533-position model. The record is from RNAcentral.
UACGGAGGGGACUAGCGUUGUUCGGAAUUACUGGGCGUAAAGCGCACGUAGGCGGAUUUGUAAGUCAGGGGUGAAAUCCCGGGGCUCAACCUCGGAACUGCCUUUGAUACUGCAAAUCUCGAGUCCGGAAGAGGUGAGUGGAAUUCCUAGUGUAGAGGUGAAAUUCGUAGAUAUUAGGAAGAACACCAGUGGCGAAGGCGACUCACUGGUCCGGUACUGACGCUGAGGUGCGAAAGCGUGGGGAGCAAACAGG